UCUAUUGAAUCUUUGAUAACAAGUUUUAUAUUAUUACUGUUGGUUUUCCAACUAUGACGAUAAACGAAUUUCGUAAUAAACAUUGCGGACGUGGGGGCA
This 99-nucleotide transfer-messenger RNA is filed under the name Candidatus Pelagibacteraceae bacterium. Its description in RNAcentral is "partial transfer-messenger RNA". It matches the Rfam family "Alphaproteobacteria transfer-messenger RNA", at positions 1 to 100 of the family's 355-position model. From Rfam's summary of the family: Bacterial tmRNA, also known as 10Sa RNA or SsrA, is named for its dual tRNA and mRNA-like properties. Its role is to liberate the mRNA from a stalled ribosome. To accomplish this part of the tmRNA is used as a reading frame that ends in a translation stop signal. Lineage: Bacteria; Pseudomonadati; Pseudomonadota; Alphaproteobacteria; Candidatus Pelagibacterales; Candidatus Pelagibacteraceae. The record is from RNAcentral.